GAAUGUGUAUACAAAGUAAGAUCUUUAAAGGAUAUAUCUAUAAUAAUAUCUCAUUUU
This 57-nucleotide transfer RNA is filed under the name Fusarium pseudograminearum CS3220. RNAcentral describes it as "tRNA-Leu". Lineage: Eukaryota; Fungi; Ascomycota; Sordariomycetes; Hypocreales; Nectriaceae. RNAcentral also lists the same sequence under 4 other names. The record is from RNAcentral.